This 400-nucleotide ribosomal RNA is filed under the name uncultured Pseudomonas sp. RNAcentral describes it as "bacterial SSU rRNA". It matches the Rfam family "Bacterial small subunit ribosomal RNA", at positions 984 to 1382 of the family's 1533-position model. Lineage: Bacteria; Pseudomonadati; Pseudomonadota; Gammaproteobacteria; Pseudomonadales; Pseudomonadaceae. The record is from RNAcentral.
ACAUGCAGAGAACUUUACCAGAGAUGGAUUGGUGGCCUUCGGGAACGUCUGACACAGGUGCUGCAUGGCUAUCGUCAGCUCGUGUCGUGAGAUGUUGGGUUAAGUCCGUAACGAGCGCAACCCUUGUCCUUAGUUACCAGCACGUUAUGGUGGGCACUCUAAGGAGACUGCCGGUGACAACCGGAGGAAGGUGGGGAUGACGUCAAGUCAUCAUGGCCCUUACGGCCUGGGCUACACACGUGCUACAAUGGUCGGUACAAAGGGUUGCCAAGCCGCGAGGUGGAGCUAAUCCCAUAAAACCGAUCGUAGUCCGGAUCGCAGUCUGCAACUCGACUGCGUGAAGUCGGAAUCGCUAGUAAUCGUGAAUCAGAAUGUCACGGUGAAUACGUUCCCGGGCCUU